UUUUUUUUUUUUUUUUUUUUUUUUGCUUUUGCUUUUUCAGGGCUGUAUCCGCGGCGUAUGGAGGUUCCCAGGCUAGGGAAUGAAUCGGAACUACAGCUGCUGGCCUACGCCACUGGCACAGCCAUGCCAGAUCUGAGCAUUGCUGUCUGCAAUCGACACCACAGCUCAUACAAUGCCAGAUCCUAACCCACUGAGCAAGGCCAGGGAUCGAACCCUCAUCCUCAUGGAUAAUAGUCGGAUUCGCUGCUGUCGCUGAGCCAUGACGGGAACUCUUUGCCCGUUUUUAUUGAAGACUUAAUGAGUCUAGUCUGUAAGAGUUGAUGGAUCGUUAUUUGUGGGCAGAUCCCACUAGCCAUGCCUGUUAGGUUAUAAUGGGGGCCCUGAGGCCAAAAGGCUUAGGACAGCCAGCCCGCCUCCUGCCUCCCAGACCUGGGCUGGGAAGACAGUCAUGGCCAACAGAUGAUUGAGCUGUGCCUUUCUCACAAGGAGAGAGAGAGAGGGCUCCAGGGGAGCUAUCGGAGCUCGGAAGUUGCUGGGUCACUGGAGACUUGAGGAAGGCCUCUGACCCGCACAGGGAGGACCAGUGAAGGUCUCCUCUCUGACUUGGAUGCUGGAGCCAGAACAGCCCACCAGGCAGGUGGCGGAUUCACUGCCCAGGAUCUUGGCCUGGCCUCAGCAUCAGCUCCAGGCUCAUCCCCAUCUUCCUUUUGCCGCGUUGUGUAGUCCAUUGGUCAACCCUGCACACGCCAGGUGUUCGCUAAUGCUGUCUGUCUGCCUCAGGCCUUUCAUCUCAGCAUCUUUCUUCUUGAGAGCAGAAUCCUGUCUGAUCCAUUUAACCCCCACAAAGUAAGGAUUCCUAAAUAUUUGUUGGAGGCUCAGGCUAGGAUCCCAGAUAGACCUGGGUUCAAAUCCUAACUUUGCCCCCGUCUGUGGACCUUUGACUUCUCCGGCCUCAUCUGCAAAAUGAAGUAAAAUAGACUCUUCUGAGGUUUUAGUGAAGAUUAGACACAUGUAAAUACAUGACAGUAGUGAGCUUUCAGGAAAUAGUGGUGCCAUUGCUGACGAGGGCAAUAGUGCCCCAGUGAUGCUCGGUCUACCUCAUUAAGUAGGUGCUAUGUGCAUUUUUUUCAGGUUUCAUUUUGCAGUAAGAGGAUGAUUGCUGGUUUCUGUUUAGUUUUCCCCAGUGACUGUCAGAAUGUAGCAAGUCAAACAGGACACCUGAGCUAAAGGCAUCCUUUCCCACCUCUCAUAGCCAGGCCCAGAGAGCUGCAUUGUUUUGUUUUAUGUUUUUUUGUUUUGUUUUGUUUUGCUUUUUCAGAGAUGCACUCACAGCCUAUGGAAGUUCCAGGCUAGGGGUGGAAUCGGAGCUAGCCUACGCCACAGCCACACAGGAUCUGAGCCAUGUCUUCAACCUACACCACAGCUCACGACAACACCAGAUCCUUAACCCACGGAGUGAGGCCAGGGAUCCAACCCACAUCCUCAUGGAUCCGAGUCAGAUUCAUAUCUACUUCGCCACAACAGGAACUCCCCAGAGCUGCAUUUCUGUAUGUACUUUUCACACAAAAGCCAUCAUCAGAUAUCAGAUCACCCUGGGGUUAACUGUGGCCUUUGGAGUUCACUGGGCAUCCAUAGUGGCCAGGAUCAUUGGGCAUCUUCCCAACCUCUUUGUGGUGAUAGCCUGGCUUGAAGCACCUUCCUGUUUCCAAGGUGGUGCCGAGGGUCCUGCUUGGAAAUUACGAUGCACAGCCUUGUGUGUGUGGUGAUUUAGUUCUCACGGAGGUACCUGGGCCAUGUCCGCUCCCACCAGGGUGUUGGCCAUUUGGGAGACCUGGCAGGUAGUGAGCUCUGUUACUCAGAAGCUCUGACCCUACAGAAAGCUGGGGGUGAGGUGGAGUCAGAUUGAGGACCCGACUCUGUCCACUGUGUGCCCACAGGGGCUGGUGACACUCAGCCAUUCCCUUAGUGCAUCACAAUGGAAGCCAGCACAUUGGACAGCUUUAGUUGGCUUCUCUGUGAGUUCAGGGUGGUGAUUAUUGAAUAGAAAACUUCAGUAUCAGCUAAUCCCCCAAGUAAUUCUCAGAAUGCUGCUCAUGUGAAGUGCACCACAAGAAAAGCUUCCAUGGCCAAAUGUGUUCAGAAAAUGCCUUACACUCUCUUUCCUUCUUGGCGUUUUAUAAUACGCUUCUGCACAUCAAGGCUCUGAGAAGUCCUGCAGUAAAGGAACAAACUUAACAUUGUUUAACACAGUAAUGCCCAAAUAAAAUUCACUGUGAACACACUUUUUUUUUUCUCGUGACAUCUAUUAAUAUCCCUAGGGGCUAGGUAAAAACACUGAAGAUAUCUGGUUAUCACAAAAGAGUUUUUAACAAGCGACAUGUGAAUAUUAUUAGGAAAGGAGAAUUUGUUAUUUUUUUAAUAAGACAUUUAGAAAAUAGAAUUAAAAGUGCUUCUUGUUGUUUUUUUUUUUUGUUGUUGUUGGUUUAUUGUUUGGUAGCCAGUCACGUUUACAUUCGACCCUAAAAUACUCAGUAUCUCAUCAACCUGCAGCCCUCCUGAAAUACCAGGGUCAUGACCUGCUAGAAGAUGCUUCCAAUGGGGGUAAGACUUGAACGUGUAAUAAAGGUAAAAUAAUGGCAUUUCAAAGAUGUUCUUUAAGAGACUCUGGGUUAGUAACUAGGGUUGUUGGUUCAAGUAGUUUCAUUUGAACCUCUGAACUCACUUUCUCAGCUAAGUGGGCAUCUCCUGAGCCUGCCCCUGACCUAGCUGGAAGAGCUAGAUCAAGCAGUAUUAGAUUGGAGCAGGGUGAAACAUUCAGGGUUGUCGACUUAUCCUGAAAAAUAUUUCUCAUAUACUUUGUGUCUUUGGGGAAUGGCACUCAUCCACAGAACUGUCUUGCAACGGAAUUGCUUUGACAAGAAUCACUUGAGAAUAGAGUGUUCUCGUAAUCCUGGACCAUGGAUCUGGGGAUGACCAGAGCCAUCCCCCCACCCCCUCCCCACCCACCCUUCCCUCCCCAGAAGCCUCACUGCUCACUUGCUCAGUCUGUUCUGAUAAGGAAUGGAAGCAUGGGGCUGCAGGUCACAUGUUAUGCCUGGAUCCGAGAGUUCAUUAGGUCACCUCCAAAACCUCUGUGCCAACUCAACAAGAAACAAUGGAUCCGCUGCAAGCCCUUGUUUAUUAUUAAAGGCCUCCAAUUGUACAUCCCUCUCGUCCCCUCGCUCCUGCGGCUGGUCAAACUAAUUUGAUUUGACAUCCUGGCAUUCGAGAUUUGUCAAGUAUUGUAACCCUAAGCGGUACUAAUAUUGAAAACCAUACUUGAAAUUUAUGUAAUCCAGAUGUGCAUGCCAAUAAAGAGGAGAUGAAAUGGCAGGCUCAGCCCGGGGGAGGAGGAGGGAGCUGAGUGGUGGGGGAGUUGUGUGUGUGUGUGUAAGAAUCCUGUUGCCCUAUAUUUUUUCUGCAUGGUAUCUAGAGCCAAGAAAGACUUUAUGUAUUAAUAUUUUCCCUUAAGAAUAAUAACUGGAUUAUGAAGUAUAGCUUUAAGUAAGUACCAGCAUCGGUUUUAUUCACAGCCAAGAAUAACCGGUUAAGUUUGGGGAGCAGGAAGAUGAUCUAUUUUAAGUGCUUUUUAAAACUUUAAAAAUUGGUCAGGACCCUCCAACGGUGUGGUGUGGUCGUGGGAAUUAUUAGUCACACUGAGGCAGGAUGUUUGACGUGGCUCUCUUUAGUGUCGAAUUGUUUUUCUAUUUGAACAUGUCCUUUUUCUCAUUAGAGGGCACUUGGUAUCGUUCAAAAGCCCUGCCCCCCACCCCACCGCCCAGGCCUAAGAAACAAAGGCUUUGACCCCUGAGCUGUCAGUUCCAAGCCCUCCCGGUGUUGGUAAUGCCCAGUUGCCUUUCUGUUUUCUGGAAGCUCAGUGAGUUGCUGAAUUAAAUGUGAAAAGAUGGAGUUCCCGUUGUGGUGCAGUGGAAACAAAUCCAACCAUGAGGUUUCAAGUUUGAUCCCUGGCCCCGCUCAGUGGGUUAAGGAACUGGCGUUGCCGUGAGCUGUGGUGUAGCUUGCAGACGUGGCUUGGAUCUGGUGUUGCUGUGGCUUGGCUCCAACUGGACCCCUAGGCUGGGAACCUCUAUAUGCUGCGGGUGCAGCCCUAAAAAGCAAACAAACAAAAGGUGAAAAGGUCUCUGUUCAGGUGUGUGAGGGUGGCCUUGCUUGGCCCAGCAAUGGCCGCUGGCACCACCUCCAGUGGGACAGUCACUCUCCCUGCCCAUGGCCCUGCCCACCUGUAAAGACAACCACAGAGUUUUGUCCAGCUGACCUCAAAGGAAUAAUUCACGUAGCUCACCUGACAGGUGGUUUGGGGUUGGACGUUUUGGUGUCCUUGACCUGAAAAGCUGGCAGAAAGUAUUGUUAGUCCCUAGCUUGCCGAGUGUAAUUAGCAAGCACCUUUAACUAGAGCUGGAAGCCCGGCGAAAACUGGCCAUGCCAGCCAGGAAAAGCAGACGACAGAUGAUACAAAGAAGCACCGAGCUGGGUUCCCCGUACAUGGGGGUGAUUUCUGGUGGACCUGGCUACUCAUAAAAGCCAUGGCUGCAGUUGGUACCAAUGCCAUCUAGUUAUUUCCAGGCAAGAAACCCAAGAUGGGGUUGCUGUUUUAGCCCCUCUGAGGGCGGAGUAAGAGGGAAAUGAGGCCGAGUGUUCAGGGGGGGCUUGCAGCGUGCCGUGGUCCCCGCACCAAAGGGCUCUGGAGAAAGUCUAGCAUGUGUUGUUUCUGCAGCGGGCAGUGCAGAACGGCUCCACUGGGUGUUUACCAGCUUUUCUCUUGUCAUAACUUAGGGCCCUCAGUCCAGGAGGGUGAGGAGGACGAAGCCUGCAUCUCACUCUCCUGCACAGAGCCUCAGCCUGUGGGUUCCCGCCGUGUUCUGAUGCAGGUCUUGAGUAAGGAAUGCUGUCCUGGCUCCAAGCCAAACAGAUUCCAAAUGAUGGAAUCGGCUGUUUCCUGUUGGGUUUCAAGGUGAGGGAGUCAGUGUGUGGUGCAAUUAGCUCCCCCUGCUACCCUGUUUGUUUAUUUCACAUUCGCUCAAGGCCCACGCGUGGAAUGGGGCUCCGGGCUGCGCGUGGCCGGUGUGGAGCGCGGGAGAGUCAGGGCCACGGGGGAACCUUCGUCCGCUCUGCCCGGCUCAGCGGUGCCGGGACUGGGGCCCCAGGCAGGAGGCAGACGGUCAAGGCUGCUGGUCCAGUUCUCUCCCCUGACAUCAUUGCUGCCUGAAGUGGAGGAUGACUGAGGAGGAGAGCAGGCUGGAAGUGGGAAGCAAGAACUUUUCAAAGCGGGAAGGCGUCGUGGCUUUUCGAGGCUCGUUUGCUCUGUGUUGCACCAGGCCGGGCUGGAGCGGGCUGACACGUGUCUCAUGGGAUCCCAGACUGAAAUGCGGAUCUGCACAUCUGCUGGUCUGACUUUGUACCUCCCGACCAGAACAGAGACCUGCUUGGCCAGAAAAAAAAAAACAAAUGACCUUGCUCUUUUCUUUUGAAAUGUUACCUAGCUGAGAUGUGCAUUUCGUUGUCAUUUGUUUGUUUUAAAUAUAUAGUAUAACCAUUCCAAUGUACUGCUUCAUGCAGGGCUGCAUAAGAUCACACUAGACGGGCUGUAACCAAAACAGAAUCAUAGCAUCAAUGAGGGCCACCGUGAGAGCACAGCCUAAGUGGAGUCGUGGUCUUAAGGUGGAGAGGGUAGCCUGGUGGCUAAGGGCUCCAACCUGGGAGUCCAUGAGCCUGGGUUUGAAUCCUGGCCCUGUGGCUUAUUGGCUGUGACCUUGGCCUCUCCAACCUUCUGACCCCCUAUUAUAAGAUGAGAUGGGGGAGGGGCAGUAGAGGGUAAAGGAGUAAAAGGUACAAACUCUUAGCAAAUAAGUAGAAAAUAAGCUACAAGGAUAUAUUGUAUAACACAUGGAAUAUACCAGUACUUCAUAAUAACUAUAAAUGAUGUAUAACUUUUAAAGAUUGUGAAUUCACUAUUUGUAUACCUGUAAGUUACAUAGUAUUGCACAGCAACUAUACUUCAGUUUAAAAAAUUUUUAGGAGUUCCCAUUGUGGCUCAGCAGGUUAAGACCCCGACUAGUAUCCAUGAGUAUGCAGGUUCCAUCCCUGGCCUCGCUCAGUCGGUUAAUGAUCCAGGGCUGCCGUGAGCUGCGGUAUAGAUUGCACGCAAAGCUCAUUGUCAUGGCUGUGGCAUAGGCUGACAUAAGCAUCUCCUAUUCGACCCCUAGCCUGGGAACUUCCAUUUGCCACGGUGCGGGCCCCCCCCCCCCAAAAAAGAAAAAUUUUGGAGUUCCCGUCGUGGCUCAGUGGUUAACGAAUCCGACUAGGAACCAUGGAGUUGCGGGUUCGAUCCCUGGCCUUGCUCAGUGGGUUGGGGAUUCAGCGUUGCCGUGAGCUGUGGUGUAGGUCAAAGACGCAGCUCGGAUCCUGCGUUGUUGUGGCUCUGGUGUAGACCAGCGGCUACAGCUCCAAUUCGACCCCUAGCCUGGGAACAUCCAUAUGCCUCGAGAGCAGCCCAAGAAAAUGGCAAAAAGACAA
Molecule: long non-coding RNA, 6573 nt
Filed under: Sus scrofa (pig)
Lineage: Eukaryota; Metazoa; Chordata; Mammalia; Artiodactyla; Suidae
Description: lncRNA (ENSSSCG00025014438.1)
Source: RNAcentral